Molecule: long non-coding RNA, 250 nt
Filed under: Hordeum vulgare
Lineage: Eukaryota; Viridiplantae; Streptophyta; Magnoliopsida; Poales; Poaceae
Description: long non-coding RNA (HVUL_LNC021067)
Source: RNAcentral
GCGAUGUGUGUUGUGAGCUAAUUUAAGAAACUGCAUCUUGUCAUAGUGUUUUUCUACAGACAACAGAUCACAUACAUAUGGAUUUUGUGCAGUGAUAGUGCUAAGUUGUAUAAUUUCUAGGUUCUGCCACCUUUGAAUGUGACUGGAGCGCUUAAUAUAGGCCAUGCACUUAUGGUUGUUAUAGAGGUAUUCACCGUCAAUGCCUUCACAGACAAGGUGAUCCAUUUUUUUGUCAUUGGAUUGUUGCUCG